GAUGAACGCUGACCGAAUGCUUAACACAUGCAAGUCUACUUGAACUUCGGUUUGGGUGGCGGACGGGUGAGUAACGCGUAAAGAACUUGCCUCACAGAUAGGGACAACAUUUGGAAACGAAUGCUAAUACCUGAUAUUAUGAUUUUAGGGCAUCCUAGAAUUAUGAAAGCUAUAUGCACUGUGAGAGAGCUUUGCGUCCCAUUAGCUAGUUGGAGAGGUAACGGCUCACCAAGGCGAUGAUGGGUAGCCGGCCUGAGAGGGUGAUCGGCCACAAGGGGACUGAGACACGGCCCUUACUCCUACGGGAGGCAGCAGUGGGGAAUAUUGGACAAUGGACCAAGAGUCUGAUCCAGCAAUUCUGUGUGCACGAUGAAGUUUUUCGGAAUGUUAAGUGCUUUCAGUUGGGAAGAAAAAAAUGACGGUACCAACAGAAGAAGAGACGGCUAAAUACGUG
This 454-nucleotide ribosomal RNA is filed under the name uncultured bacterium. RNAcentral's name for it is "partial 16S ribosomal RNA". It matches the Rfam family "Bacterial small subunit ribosomal RNA", at positions 28 to 507 of the family's 1533-position model. The record is from RNAcentral.